This 497-nucleotide ribosomal RNA is filed under the name uncultured bacterium. RNAcentral's name for it is "partial 16S ribosomal RNA". It matches the Rfam family "Bacterial small subunit ribosomal RNA", at positions 30 to 523 of the family's 1533-position model. The record is from RNAcentral.
AUUGAACGCUGGCGGCAUGCUUUACACAUGCAAGUCGAACGGUAACAGGCCGCAAGGUGCUGACGAGUGGCGAACGGGUGAGUAAUGCAUCGGAACGUGCCCAGUCGUGGGGGAUAACUAUCCGAAAGGAUAGCUAAUACCGCAUACGAUCUGCGGAUGAAAGCGGGGGACCUUCGGGCCUCGCGCGAUUGGAGCGGCCGAUGUCAGAGUAGGUAGUUGGUGGGGUAAAGGCUCACCAAGCCAACGAUCUGUAGCUGGUCUGAGAGGACGACCAGCCACACUGGGACUGAGACACGGCCCAGACUCCUACGGGAGGCAGCAGUGGGGAAUUUGGACAAUGGGCGCAAGCCUGAUCCAGCAAUGCCGCGUACAGGAAGAAGGCCUUCGGGUUGUAAACUGCUUUUGUACGGAACGAAACGGCUCUGGUUAAUACCUGGGGCUAAUGACGGUACCGUAAGAAUAAGCACCGGCUAACUACGUGCCAGCAGCCGCCGUAA